Molecule: ribosomal RNA, 301 nt
Filed under: uncultured bacterium
Lineage: Bacteria
Description: partial 16S ribosomal RNA
Rfam family: Bacterial small subunit ribosomal RNA
Source: RNAcentral
CAGCAGCCGCGGUAAUACGUAGGGUGCAAGCGUUAAUCGGAAUUACUGGGCGUAAAGCGUGCGCAGGCGGUCCGCUAAGACAGAUGUGAAAUCCCCGGGCUUAACCUGGGAACUGCAUUUGUGACUGGCGGGCUAGAGUAUGGCAGAGGGGGGUAGAAUUCCACGUGUAGCAGUGAAAUGCGUAGAGAUGUGGAGGAAUACCGAUGGCGAAGGCAGCCCCCUGGGCCAAUACUGACGCUCAUGCACGAAAGCGUGGGGAGUAAACAGGAUUAGAUACCCGGGUAGUCCCUGUCUCUUAUAC